This is a non-coding RNA of Pocillopora verrucosa, 1158 nucleotides long. The record is from RefSeq and is a predicted model, not a curated record. NCBI's taxonomy places the organism in Eukaryota, Metazoa, Cnidaria, Anthozoa, Scleractinia, Pocilloporidae.
UGCGUGAAUCGUGCGUGACGGCGUCGUGCUCACGUCGACAGCGGCAAAAUCACUUUUUGUUUUUGCAUUUGUUUUUCUGUGUACCUCGGUAUUUUAGUUGGUUCCUGAACCAGUCAGCAAAAAGCCAUCACCCAUGUACUGGACCGAAGAACAUGAUAAAAUUCUUGUCAGGGAAAUCAUCGCCAAUAACCCUUUUGAUGGCACUACAAAAAAGGGUACACCAGCUCGGGGAGCCAAGUGGAAUGCGGUGAUGAAUCAGCUACUGCAGAUAAGAGAACCAUCUUUCAAGGGAACUAGGAGAAGUCAUUGGACAAUGAUGCCAUCUGGAAUGGGACCAAAAUUUUUUGUCAAGCUUGAAGCAUGAGGCUUCUUAACAAACAUCUAUCAAUGAACUCGCUGUUGAAGCCAGAUGUUGCCAUUAUGGAACACAAUUCCAGAGCCAACGAAUAAGGUUACCGAGAGAAGAAAAUAUCCGAUCAUUCCAAGCAUCGGUGGCACCUUCUCGAAACAUCGUAAGCUUCUGAUAAUGAUGUACAGGACCAGGAAGACGAACGCGCAGGUGGCUAUGCCGAUUUGAUAUUUGUAUCCCGUCCGGUAGCGAUAGAACUCAUAGCUAAGCGUAAGAACAGCCGCUAAGAAAGUCGUUACCGUCUCGAUGAGUUUCACCCAUCCUUCCCCCGUGGUCACCAUCCAUGCCCAAUUGCAACAUCUGCGUGAAUUCGGUGAAUCCUCCCUACCCGCCAUAAAAAUUGUCUUUCUUGUACUGAGGAUGGUUAUAUGGUAUGUCGGCGUUUCAAAGCAUAGGACACAAUAUGUAUUGGGGACAAUAAUUCCUAAAUACAUGACGUAUUUACUGUGGAGCAUAAACAUCCGCUAUCCAGAAAGGAGCCCGUGCUCCUCAAACAAAAUGACGGUUCCACUCAAAGAUUUGCUGUGUUGUUGACUUCCCUGAUCCCACCAAACAUCGGAAUGAAAAUAUGACAAGAUUACUCACUGACUAUAGUCUUUCAGAUGAUCGAUACUAAUCUUGUACGCAGAUCCUACCGUGUAUCUGAAAUGAAGGAACUUUUCCACCGCUUGGCCAAUGAAGGUCAUGGUACGAGAUUAGACUAGGCCUGUCCCAAUUGUGUACAGCAACUUUUGAGCAACUUUUGAGCA